Schistocerca gregaria is the source of this 745-nucleotide long non-coding RNA. RefSeq lists it as uncharacterized. Lineage: Eukaryota; Metazoa; Arthropoda; Insecta; Orthoptera; Acrididae. The record is from RefSeq and is a predicted model, not a curated record. The transcript is spliced from 3 exons.
UGUUCCCUGUUGCUUUAUCAACUAGAAGAGAAGUAUUGUCAGUGAAUAGGAUGAACUUGCUCACUGACGUGGUGCUGUUGGGAGGCCAUUUAUAAAUAUAAGAAACAAUAAGGGUUCCAAUGCAGACCCUUGAGGCACUCCAGUGUUGACUGUGCCCCUCUUGGAUAAAGCUGGGAUUCCAUUAUUGUCAGUAGUUAUUACCUUCCGUCUCCUAUAUGUAAGAAUUGCAAUGCUAGAGAUGGUGUCCCUUUACACAGUGAAGCCCGAAGUGAGAGUGGUGGUGUAUUGCUAUAAAGGGUCUGCAUCCGAACAAAUACGUUUGUCUCGAAUGCCAAGGCUGCAUGGGAGGGAACUUUUGACAUGAAAGGGAUGGCAGCUGUCAAAAUGGUGAAAUCAGUAAUUGUUUCGUGACCUAGAUUCUAUUGUUGACUUAUAAACAAAUAUAAAUUCUGUACUAAAUAUAAACAUUUGGAAGAAGAACUACUAGGAUUCUUUAAGUAUUUUUUGGCUGUAUUCGAAAACAUAUUAGAAAAGCCAGCCCUUAAUUAGUUCCAAAAUAAUUACCAAAUUGUCAAAAACAUUGUUUGCAUAACUAUAUCUGUUAAUUUCAAUAUUUAAACAUAUACUUCAGCCUAACCUUUGUGGUAGAAGGAACUGUUCAAAAGGAGGUGUUUUGUGAUGUAUUCAGUUAGUUGAAUGAGUUACAUUUUAACUGUAAUUUCUGUAAAUUAAACAUUGAACAAUG